RNAcentral lists this ribosomal RNA (499 nucleotides) under Bacillus subtilis. Its description in RNAcentral is "bacterial SSU rRNA". It matches the Rfam family "Bacterial small subunit ribosomal RNA", at positions 393 to 881 of the family's 1533-position model. Lineage: Bacteria; Bacillati; Bacillota; Bacilli; Caryophanales; Bacillaceae. The record is from RNAcentral.
AACGCCGCGUGAGUGAUGAAGGUUUUCGGAUCGUAAAGCUCUGUUGUUAGGGAAGAACAAGUACCGUUCGAAUAGGGCGGUACCUUGACGGUACCUAACCAGAAAGCCACGGCUAACUACGUGCCAGCAGCCGCGGUAAUACGUAGGUGGCAAGCGUUGUCCGGAAUUAUUGGGCGUAAAGGGCUCGCAGGCGGUUUCUUAAGUCUGAUGUGAAAGCCCCCGGCUCAACCGGGGAGGGUCAUUGGAAACUGGGGAACUUGAGUGCAGAAGAGGAGAGUGGAAUUCCACGUGUAGCGGUGAAAUGCGUAGAGAUGUGGAGGAACACCAGUGGCGAAGGCGACUCUCUGGUCUGUAACUGACGCUGAGGAGCGAAAGCGUGGGGAGCGAACAGGAUUAGAUACCCUGGUAGUCCACGCCGUAAACGAUGAGUGCUAAGUGUUAGGGGGUUUCCGCCCCUUAGUGCUGCAGCUAACGCAUUAAGCACUCCGCCCUGGGGAGA